RNAcentral lists this transfer RNA (75 nucleotides) under compost metagenome. Its description in RNAcentral is "tRNA-Thr". It matches the Rfam family "tRNA". From Rfam's summary of the family: Transfer RNA (tRNA) molecules are approximately 80 nucleotides in length. The record is from RNAcentral.
GCCGAUAUAGUAUAAUGGCUAUUACAGGGUCUUGGUAUGACUCAAAUCACAGUUCAAUCCUGUGUAUCGGCACCA